AACGCACAUUGCGCCCGCCAGCAUUCUGGCGGGCAUGCCUGUCCGAGCGUCAUUUCCACCCUCGGGCCCUGCCUGGUGUUGGGGACCUGCAGCUGCUGCAGCCCCCUAAAGACAACGGCGUGCCUGCCGGGCCCCGAGCGUAGUAACACACCUCGCCUGGGAAGUCCUGCAGCGCCCUGCCGCAAACCAAACACUUACAAGGUUGACCUCGGAUCAGGUAGGAAUACCCGCUGAACUUAA
This 240-nucleotide unclassified non-coding RNA is filed under the name uncultured fungus. Its description in RNAcentral is "partial contains 5.8S ribosomal RNA, internal transcribed spacer 2, and large subunit ribosomal RNA". The record is from RNAcentral. Lineage: Eukaryota; Fungi.